Molecule: ribosomal RNA, 428 nt
Filed under: uncultured bacterium
Lineage: Bacteria
Description: partial 16S ribosomal RNA
Rfam family: Bacterial small subunit ribosomal RNA
Source: RNAcentral
GUGGGGAAUAUUAGGCAAUGGGCGAAAGCCUGACCUAGCAACGCCGCGUGAAGGAAGAAGGCCUUCGGGUUGUAAACUUCUUUUAUGAGGGACGAAGGACGUGACGGUACCUCAUGAAUAAGCCACGGCUAACUACGUGCCAGCAGCCGCGGUAAUACGUAGGUGGCGAGCGUUAUCCGGAUUUAUUGGGUGUAAAGGGCGUGUAGGCGGGACAGCAAGUCAGAUGUGAAAACCAGAGGCUCAACCUCUGGCCUGCAUUUGAAACUGUUGUUCUUGAGUGUCGGAGAGGUAAUCGGAAUUCCGUGUGUAGCGGUGAAAUGCGUAGAUAUACGGAGGAACACCAGUGGCGAAGGCGGAUUACUGGACGAUAACUGACGCUGAGGCGCGAAAGCGUGGGGAGCAAACAGGAUUAGAUACCCGUGUAGUCC